RNAcentral lists this ribosomal RNA (253 nucleotides) under uncultured bacterium. RNAcentral's name for it is "partial 16S ribosomal RNA". It matches the Rfam family "Bacterial small subunit ribosomal RNA", at positions 524 to 776 of the family's 1533-position model. The record is from RNAcentral.
UACGGAGGUCUCGAGCGUUGUUCGGAUUUAUUGGGCGUAAAGAGCGUGUAGGCGGCUUUACAAGUCCGUUGUGAAAACUCGAGGCUCAACCUCGAGACGCCGGUGGAAACCGUAAAGCUAGAGUCCGGAAGAGGAGAGUGGAAUUCCUGGUGUAGCGGUGAAAUGCGCAGAUAUCAGGAGGAACACCCGUGGCGAAAGCGGCUCGCUGGGACGGUACUGACGCUGAGACGCGAAAGCGUGGGGAGCAAACAGG